This 465-nucleotide ribosomal RNA is filed under the name uncultured bacterium. RNAcentral describes it as "partial 16S ribosomal RNA". It matches the Rfam family "Bacterial small subunit ribosomal RNA", at positions 28 to 507 of the family's 1533-position model. The record is from RNAcentral.
GACGAACGCUGGCGGCGUGCUUAACACAUGCAAGUCGAACGGAAAGGCCCCUUUGGGGGUACUCGAGUGGCGAACGGGUGGGUAACACGUGAGUAACCUGCCCUUCACUUCGGGAUAACUUCAGGAAACUGGGGCUAAUACCGGUUAGGAAUCCUUUCCGCAUGGUGGGGGUUGGAAAGCUUCGGCGGUUUUGGAUGGCCUCGCGGCUUGUCAGCUUGUUGGUGGGGUAGUGGCUUACCAAGGUUUUGACGGGUAGCCGGCCUGAGAGGGCGACCGGCCACAGUGGGGCUGAGAGAGGGCCCAGACUCCGACGGGAGGCAGAAGUGGGGAAUAUUGCAGAAUGGGCGGAGGUCUGAUGCAGCAAGGCGGCGUGCGGGAGGACGGCCUUCGGGUUGUAAACCGCUUUCAGCAGGGGCGGAGCGUGUGGUGACGGUACCUGCAGAAGAAGCACCGGCUAACUACGUG